UGGGGAAUUUUGGACAAUGGGGGCAACCCUGAUCCAGCCAUGCCGCGUGCGGGAAGAAGGCCUUCGGGUUGUAAACCGCUUUUGUUCGGGAAGAAAUCCUCUGGGCUAAUACCCCGGGGGGAUGACGGUACCGGAAGAAUAAGCACCGGCUAACUACGUGCCAGCAGCCGCGGUAAUACGUAGGGUGCAGCGUUAAUCGGAAUUACUGGGGCGUAAAGCGUGCGCAGGCGGUUGUGCAAGACAGAUGUGAAAUCCCCGGGCUUAACCUGGGAACUGCAUUUGUGACUGCACGGCUAGAGUGCGGCAGAGGGGAGUGGAAUUCCGCGUGUAGCAGUGAAAUGCGUAGAUAUGCGGAGGAACACCGAUGGCGAAGGCAGCUCUCUGGGCCUGCACUGACGCUCAUGCACGAAAAGCGUGGGGAGCAAACAGGAUUAGAUACCCUGGUAGUCCACGCCCUAAAACCGAUGUCAACUGGUUG
This 478-nucleotide ribosomal RNA is filed under the name uncultured bacterium. Its description in RNAcentral is "partial 16S ribosomal RNA". It matches the Rfam family "Bacterial small subunit ribosomal RNA", at positions 355 to 822 of the family's 1533-position model. The record is from RNAcentral.